RNAcentral lists this ribosomal RNA (301 nucleotides) under uncultured bacterium. RNAcentral's name for it is "partial 16S ribosomal RNA". It matches the Rfam family "Bacterial small subunit ribosomal RNA", at positions 509 to 807 of the family's 1533-position model. The record is from RNAcentral.
CAGCAGCCACGGGAAUACGUAGGUGGCAAGCGUUGUCCGGAAUUAUUGGGCGUAAAGGGCUCGCAGGCGGUUUCUUAAGUCUGAUGUGAAAGCCCCCGGCUCAACCGGGGAGGGUCAUUGGAAACUGGGAAACUUGAGUGCAGAAGAGGAGAGUGGAAUUCCACGUGUAGCGGUGAAAUGCGUAGAGAUGUGGGGGAACACCAGUGGCGAAGGCGACUCUCUGGUCUGUAACUGACGCUGAGGAGCGAAAGCGUGGGGAGCGAACAGGAUUAGAUACCCGCGUAGUCCCUGUCUCUUAUAC